AGGCUUAACACAUGCAAGUCGAGGGGCAGCAUGGUCUUAGCUUGCUAAGGCCGAUGGCGACCGGCGCACGGGUGAGUAACACGUAUCCAACCUGCCGUCUACUCUUGGACAGCCUUCUGAAAGGAAGAUUAAUACAAGAUGGCAUCAUGAGUCCGCAUGUUCACAUGAUUAAAGGUAUUCCGGUAGACGAUGGGGAUGCGUUCCAUUAGAUAGUAGGCGGGGUAACGGCCCACCUAGUCUUCGAUGGAUAGGGGUUCUGAGAGGAAGGUCCCCCACAUUGGAACUGAGACACGGUCCAAACUCCUACGGGAGGCAGCAGUGAGGAAUAUUGGUCAAUGGGCGAGAGCCUGAACCAGCCAAGUAGCGUGAAGGAUGACUGCCCUAUGGGUUGUAAACUUCUUUUAUAAAGGAAUAAAGUCGGGUAUGGAUACCCGUUUGCAUGUACUUUAUGAAUAAGGAUCGGCUAACUCCGUGCCAGCAGCCGCGGUAAUACGGAGGAUCCGAGCGUUAUCCGGAUUUAUUGGGUUUAAAGGGAGCGUAGAUGGAUGUUUAAGUCAGUUGUGAAAGUUUGCGGCUCAACCGUAAAAUUGCAGUUGAUACUGGAUAUCUUGAGUGCAGUUGAGGCAGGCGGAAUUCGUGGUGUAGCGGUGAAAUGCUUAGAUAUCACGAAGAACUCCGAUUGCGAAGGCAGCCUGCUAAGCUGCAACUGACAUUGAGGCUCGAAAGUGUGGGUAUCAAACAGGAUUAGAUACCCUGGUAGUCCACACGGUAAACGAUGAAUACUCGCUGUUUGCGAUAUACAGCAAGCAGCCAAGCGAAAGCGUUAAGUAUUCCACCUGGGGAGUACGCCGGCAACGGUGAAACUCAAAGGAAUUGACGGGGGCCCGCACAAGCGGAGGAACAUGUGGUUUAAUUCGAUGAUACGCGAGGAACCUUACCCGGGCUUAAAUUGCAGAUGAAUUACGGUGAAAGCCGUAAGCCGCAAGGCAUCUGUGAAGGUGCUGCAUGGUUGUCGUCAGCUCGUGCCGUGAGGUGUCGGCUUAAGUGCCAUAACGAGCGCAACCCUUGUUGUCAGUUACUAACAGGUUCCGCUGAGGACCCUGACAAGACUGCCAUCGUAAGAUGUGAGGAAGGUGGGGAUGACGUCAAAUCAGCACGGCCCUUACGUCCGGGGCUACACACGUGUUACAAUGGGGGGUACAGAGGGCCGCUACCACGCGAGUGGAUGCCAAUCCCCAAAACCUCUCUCAGUUCGGACUGGAGUCUGCAACCCGACUCCACGAAGCUGGAUUCGUUAGUAAUCGCGCAUCAGCCACGGCGCGGUGAAUACGUUCCCGGGCCUUGUACACACCGCCCGUCAAGCCAUGGGAGCCGGGGGUACUUGAAGUGCGUAACAAAGAGGAGCGCCCUAGGGUAAAACUGGUGACUGGGGCU
RNAcentral lists this ribosomal RNA (1434 nucleotides) under uncultured organism. RNAcentral describes it as "SSU rRNA". It matches the Rfam family "Bacterial small subunit ribosomal RNA". The record is from RNAcentral.